GAUGAAGAACGUAGCGAAAUGCGAUAAGUAAUGUGAAUUGCAGAAUUCAGUGAAUCAUCGAAUCUUUGAACGCACAUUGCGCCCGCCAGUAUUCUGGCGGGCAUGCCUGUUCAAGCGUCAUUUCAACCAUCAAGCCCCCGGGCUUGUGUUGGGGACCUGCGGCUGCCGCAGGCCCUGAAAAGCAGUGGCGGGCUCGCUGUCACACCGAGCGUAGUAGAUUUUAUCUCGCUCAGGGCGUGCUGCGGGUUCCGGCCGUUAAACCACCUUCAUAACCCAAGGUUGACCUCGGAUCAGGUAGGAAGACCCGCUGAACUUAAGCAUAUCAAUAAGCGGAGGA
This 337-nucleotide unclassified non-coding RNA is filed under the name soil metagenome. RNAcentral describes it as "partial contains 5.8S ribosomal RNA, internal transcribed spacer 2, and large subunit ribosomal RNA". The stretch from base 1 to 120 matches the Rfam family "5.8S ribosomal RNA", at positions 35 to 154 of the family's 154-position model. The record is from RNAcentral.